CACGUCAGCGCGAUUUGCUUACGUGGACACAAAUCGCGCCUACGAGGACGCGAUUUGCUGACACGUCCCCUGACAUCGCGCUGACGUGG
Molecule: non-coding RNA, 89 nt
Organism: Gossypium hirsutum (cotton)
Lineage: Eukaryota; Viridiplantae; Streptophyta; Magnoliopsida; Malvales; Malvaceae
Source: Rfam